CUAGAAUUAUGUUCACAUUGCUACGGUGCAGAGAUAUUAACACUUAUUGCCAGUUUAACCUGAUGAACACUACAAGAACUGGAUAUACAGUUCUGAAUGGAGAAAGGAAGAGAAGAACUGUCUUUAUCACACAUGACCUUCCAAAGAGUCUCAAAUUUACCCCCUUCAGAGUACAUCAGAUUGCUGCAGGGUAUGAAGAAACAAAAACAAAAAAAGGAGGGGGGACUGUCAAGAACUACUGAAAAGAAAAAAGU
Molecule: long non-coding RNA, 254 nt
Filed under: Homo sapiens (human)
Lineage: Eukaryota; Metazoa; Chordata; Mammalia; Primates; Hominidae
Description: HSALNT0061380
Source: RNAcentral